Budorcas taxicolor (takin) is the source of this 292-nucleotide long non-coding RNA. RefSeq lists it as uncharacterized. Lineage: Eukaryota; Metazoa; Chordata; Mammalia; Artiodactyla; Bovidae. The record is from RefSeq and is a predicted model, not a curated record. The transcript is spliced from 4 exons.
GCGCGGCGCUCGGGGUUCCCGGGGGCGGGGGCCCGGGGCGCGCGCGCUGGCCGCUCGCCGACCGGGCCCCGAGUCGCCGAUUCCUGCCGAGUGUAGAGAGGAGAGAGUGAACAGGGAACGGGGCUUUUGUCUGUUGGUUGGUCUCCUUCGACCGAAGAGAGGGAGGGUGCAAGGCCAAGACUAUUAAGGAUUCUCAAAAUGGACAGACUCAGAAGGCAUCAGCUGCAAGAUUUUCAAUAUGAAUGAUUUUACCGGUUCUUCUGGACCCUUCAGGUGCGGUUGGACUCAUCCC